GACGAACGCUGGCGGCGUGCUUAACACAUGCAAGUCGAACGGUGAAGCGCUUGCCUUUUUGGUGGGUGUGGAUGAGUGGCGAACGGGUGAGUAACACGUGAGUAACCUGCCCUCUUCUUCUGGAUAACCUCAUGAAAGUGGGGCUAAUACGGGGUAUUCCGGGUCUGUCGCAUGGCGGGUUUGGGAAAGAUUGCGCCUUUGGGUGUUUUCGGUGGGGGAUGGGCUCGCGGCCUAUCAGCUUGUUGGUGGGGUGAUGGCCUACCAAGGCGGUGACGGGUAGCCGGCCUGAGAGGGUGGACGGCCACACUGGGACUGAGACACGGCCCAGACUCCUGCGGGAGGCAGCAGUGGGGAAUAUUGCACAAUGGGCGCAAGCCUGAUGCAGCGACGCCGCGUGAGGGAUGGAGGCCUUCGGGUUGUGAACCUCUUUCGCCAGUGAAGCAGGCCUGCCUCGUUUGUGGGUGGGUUGACGGUAGCUGGAUAAGAAGCGCCGGCUAACUACGUGCCAGCAGCCGCGGUAAUACGUAGGGCGCGAGCGUUGUCCGGAAUUAUUGGGCGUAAAGAGCUCGUAGGCGGCUGGUCGCGUCUGUCGUGAAAUCCUCUGGCUUAACUGGGGGCUUGCGGUGGGUACGGGCCGGCUUGAGUGCGGUAGGGGAGGCUGGAACUCCUGGUGUAGCGGUGGAAUGCGCAGAUAUCAGGAAGAACACCGGUGGCGAAGGCGGGUCUCUGGGCCGUUACUGACGCUGAGGAGCGAAAGCGUGGGGAGCGAACAGG
Molecule: ribosomal RNA, 774 nt
Filed under: uncultured Actinomyces sp.
Lineage: Bacteria; Bacillati; Actinomycetota; Actinomycetes; Actinomycetales; Actinomycetaceae
Description: bacterial SSU rRNA
Rfam family: Bacterial small subunit ribosomal RNA
Source: RNAcentral